This 812-nucleotide ribosomal RNA is filed under the name uncultured bacterium. Its description in RNAcentral is "bacterial SSU rRNA". It matches the Rfam family "Bacterial small subunit ribosomal RNA", at positions 65 to 872 of the family's 1533-position model. The record is from RNAcentral.
AGCGGCAAGGGCAGCAAUGCCCCUAGAGCGGCGGACUGGUGAGUAACGCGUGGGUGAUCUACCUUGGGCAUGGGGAUAGCCAUUAGAAAUAGUGGGUAAUACCGAAUACGUUCGUUACCGUGAGGGUAACGAGGAAAGGCGCUACGGCGCCGGCCUGGAGAUGAGCUUGCGUCUGAUUAGCUAGUUGGUGAGGUAAUGGCUCACCAAGGCGAUGAUCGGUAGCCGGCCUGAGAGGGUGUACGGCCACACUGGGACUGAGAUACGGCCCAGACUCCUACGGGAGGCAGCAGCUAAGAAUAUUCCGCAAUGGACGAAAGUCUGACGGAGCGACGCCGCGUGGAUGAUGGAGGCCGAAAGGUUGUAAAGUCCUUUUGCUGGGGAAGAAUAAGCGUGGGAGGGAAUGCCCGCGUGAUGACAUGAACCGGCGAAUAAGCCCCGGCUAACUACGUGCCAGCAGCCGCGGUAACACGUAGGGGGCGAGCGUUGUUCGGAAUUACUGGGCGUAAAGGGCAUGUAGGCGGCUUUGUAAGCUUGGCGUGAAAUUCCACGGCUUAACCGUGGGAAUGCGUUGAGAACUGCGAGGCUUGAGUGACGGAGAGGGAGCUAGAAUUCCUGGUGUAGGGGUGGAAUCUGUAGAGAUCAGGAAGAAUACCAAUGGCGAAGGCAAGCUCCUGGCCGAUGACUGACGCUGAGGUGCGAAAGUGUGGGGAUCAAACAGGAUUAGAUACCCUGGUAGUCCACACUGUAAACGAUGUACACUAGGUGCUGGGGCGGAUGCUUCAGUGCCGUAGCUAACGUGAUAAGUGUACCGC